AUCAGACACGAAGGAGAGGCCAACAGAUGAGGGAAGCCAUUUUUCUGCAAUGGAAUUAAAUGGCCAAGCCCAAGGACUCACAGUUGGAAGACUGGAGAAGACUUUUUAAAAAGAUCUGGAUUUUUCCUUAUGACUUGGAAUCCAUCUUUGUCUUGUAUAACUAGGUCAUAGCACACCAUUCAUGUCAGCAGUUAACAGUUUUGAAUUCCAAAAAAACCUAAGUAAAUGACAUAUUUUUUUUCCUCUUUUUGUUCUAUGGGUGGGUGGGGGGAGCUUGGAGCUGUCUUAAUCUGUAUUCUCUUGACUGAACAAUAAAUUUUUAAAUAUAUCUAGUUUCCUCUAUUAAACACUUAAACCUGGCCAUCUUAUUAACUCCUUCUCUCUUUUUAACAAGGUAAUGUUUUAAAUGUAUAUAGCUUUAGGACUAGCGAAAUGGCAGCAACAAAAAAUUGUGAGCAGUUGUUACUCUUUUAGUUUUUAAAAAACCUUUUACAUUGUAAGUACCCAAUCCAUUCUGUCCUGACGCAGUACAGUUUUGAUGUUAAUGUUGCUGAGAUGUCCUUAAUUUUCCGAACCUUCAUCUGCAUGUAUGUCUUUGUCUCUCUUGUCUAAUAUAAGCCAGUUAAGAUGCUUGAGACGAUCUUGCUUUAUAAAGCUAAGGUUCUAGCUUUAUGCUUUUGAAAAUGUUUACAGCACUAAAUGCUAGUCAGCUUUCUUCCCCGUAGCUUGUACACUUUCUUUGAAAAUCGAUCUAUUUGAAGAAAAACAGCCCUGUUUUUCUCGUCUUUGGUGUUGGGGGUUGGGGGGAGCUGGUGGGUGAGGGAAAGGAAGACCUUUUCUUUGUGUAGAGAGACUAAAGCCGUCACAGGAAACUAGAUUAAAACUGGAAAACAAGUCCUAGCUGGUUCCAGCAAACACCAACGUUAAGUGGGGGGUAUUUUCUAUGGUGGUUGGGCGGCUGGUGCGUCUUGUGCCUUUUGUUUGAUUUGACUGUAUUUUCGCCUUUUGUCUCUUAAUGACGAUCACACCAUUGCUAUAUCCAGAGCAGUAAACAGUCCUCAGCGAAGCCGCCUUUUUGCCUACCCAACCCUGGAAAGUUUGCAGAAGUGGAAGGAGCAGAACGUGAGGGUGUAACUUACAAAAAGGUUCUGGGCCGGAGAAGGGGCGACGUUCGGGCACCCCCCGAAUGGACAAUCUUUCCUUCUGUCAACGGCAGGGGCAGGCCUAGUUUGACUCUGACAGUCCUCCCACUAAGGAAUUCCUGGUGACUGGAAGGGGGAGUGACUCAGGCCCUCAACCUCUAGCAGGUAAGGGAGCUACCUCCUGGGUGGGCAUGCCCAGUUCCUCAGUGGGCCCAGCGCGGCCCAGCCUCCGAGGAAGCUCUGAGCAGCUGGCUUGGCUCCGAGGUAUUUUUAGCUACAGAUCCAGCCCCCCUCCAUCACCACAACAGUCGAGUCCAAAUCAAACGCGCUCCAGGCAGGUGGGGCUGGGGUUCUGCCAGCCUCCUGGCCAGCAGGGGUGGGUGGGCAGACUGGGGCCAGUAUCAGCUGUUCUGCCUGGACCCAGGCCGGGCUGGGAAGGCACACUUGUGCUUAUUUCCCGCCUCCACUUCUGUGCAAGCUUGUGCUGUCAUAAGCAGAGAUCACAGCCCCAUUUCUUGGAUGGAGAAAGUGGACACUGAGGUCUGAGGCUUUUGAGGACAGUCAGGAGCCCUCCUAUGGGCUCCAGUGAUGCACUCACCAGCUUCUGGUCCUCUUCUUCCACCUCUUAGAGUGCCUUGGCUCCCUCCUGUCGUCCUGGGGAACCUCGGCCCCAGCCCUGCCUCCCCAGCCAGUCACAGCUCCUCCCUGGUCACCCUGAGGGAGCUCAGGGCCCGGCUGGUAGCUGGGUUGCUCUGCUUCUGUCCCCCACUCCUGUGGAGCCUGGCAGGCAACUCCAUGAUCUGACCCCGGUUACCUUGACAGCCCUGCCUGGCCUCCCCUCUCAUGGCCCAGCCACCCCAGAACCUGAAGAGGUUUUCUAGCUGCCGUGCAUUUGCCAGGCUGGGUUACCCACCCUACUUUCCCUGCCUGCCCUCCAGUGCUGCCAGGCCUAGUGUGCCAGCCAGCGCUCAGCCUUCAGUAAAGGGUUCCCCUGCUUCCAACCUCCAUUGCACUGCUUCCCCUAAGACUGUGACCUCCUGGAAGGCUGGAGCACAACUGCCUCUCAAUAAACGUGUUGCAAAAAAGGAA
This 2231-nucleotide long non-coding RNA is filed under the name Homo sapiens (human). RNAcentral's name for it is "HSALNT0371058". The record is from RNAcentral. Lineage: Eukaryota; Metazoa; Chordata; Mammalia; Primates; Hominidae.